AGCGGCGCAGGAUGCUAAACGCACUUUAAGCGAUUCUGUUUUGAAAUAUAAACACUCGAAACGUUCCUUAAGUUUCACCUUAAUAAAGUUUUAUCCAUCCGAGCUAAGAAGACGAGGAUAUGAUGAUAGAAAAGCUGGGGGAAAACGGAGAAAAAGUGUUAAAACAUGAUGCUAAUAAUCAAGAUUGAUAUCCACGGCUGUUGCACUUCACGGAGAAACGUUUUAUUCCUUCAAGACCAACAGACGGCACUUCUGUAUGAACAUCUCUCUGAAACUGCAUGAAAACAUGAAGAUUUGCCUGAACUGAGCUGAAUGAGGGCUCCAUUAGCGGCUAAUGCAUGGGAGAAGCUUCUGGAUGUAAAUAAGACGGAGCCGCCGCUUUGAGCUACAGAUGGUUUUUAAAGGAGCAACUGCUGAAACGAGACCCAGAGAAAGCCCUCGAACGCGGCGCGCCCAGCGUGAAUAAUGAUGCGAUCCGACGGCGUUGAAAGCGCCUCACUCUUGUCGCCUCAAAGUCGAAGAAGUGUUCGAAACAGCUGAAUUACAAAACCCACCUUGAAGAGCAGCGUGUGAAGGAAAGAAAAGGAGGAAAAGGUCAUGGGCGGCGCAGUUGAACCCGAACCCAGCCACUCAUCUACACAAUCGCAGAGUGGUCACGUGGUCGCUCACGCGCCGCGGCGGCCGCCCUGCGGUACG
Long non-coding RNA from Xiphophorus couchianus (Monterrey platyfish), 696 nucleotides. RefSeq lists it as uncharacterized. The transcript is spliced from 4 exons. Lineage: Eukaryota; Metazoa; Chordata; Actinopteri; Cyprinodontiformes; Poeciliidae. The record is from RefSeq and is a predicted model, not a curated record.